Long non-coding RNA from Gavialis gangeticus (Gharial), 1057 nucleotides. RefSeq lists it as uncharacterized. Lineage: Eukaryota; Metazoa; Chordata; Crocodylia; Gavialidae. The transcript has 3 exons. The record is from RefSeq and is a predicted model, not a curated record.
UCUGAGGUCCCUUCCAGCCUGAAUGUCAAUGAAAUCUGUUUGGCUGGGAGUUAGUGUAACACUCUGUUUAAACUGCAAAAUCACUAACCAUAGCUUCUCUCCCUCUCCAGCCAACAGCCUGUGUAGGACUUCCCUUUAAAUUUCAGGGCCCUGAUCUGUGGUGCUCUAUUUCCAUUGCUGCUGUUAUCCUAACACUUACCUUGUAGCUGAGGCACCAGAGGACAAACCUUUCUCAGAGCCUGCUGUAAGAUCUCUCCAUACACUGGGCAACAAGAGAUACUCAUAUGGAGCCACAUUAAAGAGUUCCAGUCAUUUCCAUUUGGCUAUUUCUGGAGUGUGGUGCUGUUCAAUGAGUGUUUUAGGAUCAGCUUGAUCAGGUCUUUUACCUCCAACAUUUGGAUACUAAGGGCCAAAUCCUAUUUUACCUAUUAAGUGUCUAAGUGUCACCCUAUUCCACUCUGCUUAAGUCCCUAAAGAAUCGUUAACACAUCAGAUUUUUUAAUGCCAUCCUUUUAGCCUUAAAGACUAAGACAAAAAACAUGGGGGAGAAGGACCCACUCACCCUCCCGCCUUUGGCAUUUAACUGUUUUCAGAGACUCUAGCUGGGUCACACUUAGGCGCCUAAUGGGUGCAAUGGGAUCUGGCCUUAAAUUCUCAGUUCUGCAUCAUUGUUUGCUUCCAGCAACCACAGCUGCUUAACUUGCCUGAAGCAGUGUUGCUCUUAUACUUACAAUGACAGCUAAAAGUGCCAUUUGUAGGAAUAAGAAAAAUGCUGAUUGAAAAAAUCCAAGCCGACGUACUUACAUGAUGUGUGAUAGAUCUGAGUAAAAAACACUUCCAGCUCCUCAGAUGCACCAGAGAUAGAGGAUUGAUUCCCCCACCCACCCCUUUCUGAAUGAACUGCCUGCAAUAGAUUUAAGGAUGGGGAAGCUGGUUGGUGUGUCCGUGAAAGACUCAGGAAAUGGGUCUAGAGGGGUACAUUCCUCAUUAUGUAGGUUCCUAGGGGGCAUCUGAAGAACACGUGCCUGCUUCUCUGCUAUGGUGUGCACAUGCCUGC